This 70-nucleotide transfer RNA is filed under the name Dipodomys ordii (Ord's kangaroo rat). It matches the Rfam family "tRNA". From Rfam's summary of the family: Transfer RNA (tRNA) molecules are approximately 80 nucleotides in length. Their secondary structure includes four short double-helical elements and three loops (D, anti-codon, and T loops). The record is from Rfam by way of RNAcentral. Lineage: Eukaryota; Metazoa; Chordata; Mammalia; Rodentia; Heteromyidae.
GGGAAUGUGGCUUAGUGGUACAGUGCUUACCUAGCAUGUAUGAAGCCCUAGGUUCGAUUCCUUAGCACCA